GUAGAUACCAGAAAGGGUUUUGCUUACUGUGUUAAUUUGAUUUUCUCCGCAUUUUUUUAAAGUUGAGUUGAUUUUGUGUUUGGUUGCUGAGAAAUUGCGGGAAAGUAUAAGAUAUCUGGAGAGAAAAUCUGAAUUUUUAAGUAUCUAUUGUGCCAGUGUUUGUUGGAGUAAAGUUGACUUUUUCAUAUCUCUUGCAGAAUCGAAGUUUCAUUUUCUUGAUGGUCUUUCUUUCAUACUUUCCCCCUUUUGCUUAGUGAUUUGUUUGCUUCCCGAGAAAAUGUUAGGAUUAUGCAUUUUCGACAUUUUGGAUUCUGAAAGGUUGACUACUUGUCAUCAGAGCUUAGUAUAACUAAUUGGCUUACUUGAUUAUUUCUUUUCGUUCAUUUUAAAAAAAAAAAGAUUUGCAUCUUGUCAGAGUUCUUAGAUUUUGAAAUAGGGGUUCUAUAAUAGCGCAAUAUGUAAGUGAUGGAUUUUUCUUGCGGGUCUGGACAUGCAAGACAAGAAAGAGAAGCGGAUGGAGCCAACCUCUCCGAUGCUUCUUCUGUAAUUAUGCUCAUAGUCAAGAUAAUCCCCUUGUUUGGAAUGAAUUGAUUUCUUUUUAGUUAAUUUUCAUGUUUGAGUGAAAUUCAACUCUUUUUAACUUGAAAAAUUUUUAUUUAAAAAUAAAUAGAAAGUAAGAA
Molecule: unclassified non-coding RNA, 680 nt
Filed under: Hevea brasiliensis (rubber tree)
Lineage: Eukaryota; Viridiplantae; Streptophyta; Magnoliopsida; Malpighiales; Euphorbiaceae
Source: RNAcentral